UAACACUAUUGCAUUAUGGGG
RNAcentral lists this non-coding RNA (21 nucleotides) under Caenorhabditis elegans. Lineage: Eukaryota; Metazoa; Nematoda; Chromadorea; Rhabditida; Rhabditidae. The record is from RNAcentral.